This 206-nucleotide unclassified non-coding RNA is filed under the name Hevea brasiliensis (rubber tree). Lineage: Eukaryota; Viridiplantae; Streptophyta; Magnoliopsida; Malpighiales; Euphorbiaceae. The record is from RNAcentral.
UGUGACAAAGUUCUUGAUAUUGCUAGUAAUGAACUCGGAAACAUAGAUCCAUAUAGCAUCUUUACGCCGUCCUGUCCUGGAAAUGUUGUCUUCUCAAAUAACAAACUACUGAAAAAAUUGCAUUCAGUUGGGCGUAUUGGAGAAAAGUACGAUCCUUGCACUGAGAAGCACUCAACUGUUUAUUUUAACUUGCCCGAGGUUCAAAA